This 469-nucleotide ribosomal RNA is filed under the name uncultured bacterium. Its description in RNAcentral is "partial 16S ribosomal RNA". It matches the Rfam family "Bacterial small subunit ribosomal RNA", at positions 28 to 507 of the family's 1533-position model. The record is from RNAcentral.
GACGAACGCUGGCGGCGUGCUUAACACAUGCAAGUCGAACGGUGAAGCGAGUGCUUGCACUCGUGGAUCAGUGGCGAACGGGUGAGUAACACGUGAGUAACCUGCCCAUCACUCUGGGAUAAGCACUGGAAACGGUGUCUAAUACUGGAUACGACCAACCCUUGCAUGGGGUGUUGGUGGAAAGAUUUAUCGGUGAUGGAUGGACUCGCGGCCUAUCAGCUUGUUGGCGGGGUAAUGGCCCACCAAGGCGACGACGGGUAGCCGGCCUGAGAGGGUGACCGGCCACACUGGGACUGAGACACGGCCCAGACUCCUACGGGAGGCAGCAGUGGGGAAUAUUGCACAAUGGGCGAAAGCCUGAUGCAGCGACGCCGCGUGAGGGAUGACGGCCUUCGGGUUGUAAACCUCUUUCAGCAGGGAAGAAGCGAAAGUGACGGUACCUGCAGAAGAAGCGCCGGCUAACUACGUG